This 253-nucleotide ribosomal RNA is filed under the name uncultured bacterium. RNAcentral's name for it is "partial 16S ribosomal RNA". It matches the Rfam family "Bacterial small subunit ribosomal RNA", at positions 524 to 776 of the family's 1533-position model. The record is from RNAcentral.
UACGUAGGGUGCGAGCGUUAAUCGGAAUUACUGGGCGUAAAGGGUGCGCAGGCGGCCGCGCAAGUCGAGCGUGAAAGCCCCGGGCUUAACUUGGGAAUUGCGCUCGAAACUGCGUGGCUGGAGUGUGGCAGAGGAAGGUGGAAUUCCACGUGUAGCGGUGAAAUGCGCAGGUAUCAGGAGGAACACCGGUGGCGAAGGCAGCUCGCUGGGACGGUACUGACGCUAAGGCGCGAAAGCGUGGGGAGCAAACAGG